RNAcentral lists this ribosomal RNA (517 nucleotides) under uncultured bacterium. RNAcentral's name for it is "bacterial SSU rRNA". It matches the Rfam family "Bacterial small subunit ribosomal RNA", at positions 28 to 533 of the family's 1533-position model. The record is from RNAcentral.
GACGAACGCUGGCGGCGUGGAUUAGGCAUGCAAGUCGGACGGUAGGGCUUUAUCGUAAGAUAGAGUUUGAGAGUGGCGAACGGGUGAGUAACACGUAGGAAUCUACCCUUAAGACGGGGACAACCCAGGGAAACUUGGGCUAAUACCGGAUGAGAGUGCGAGAGAUUGCAUUUUAAAAAGGAUGGCGAAAGUUGUCGCUUAGGGAUGAGCCUGCGGUCUAUUAGUUAGUUGGUGAGGUAAGAGCUCACCAAGGCGAUGAUAGAUAGGCGGCCUUAACGGGUGGUCGCCCACACUGGGAUUGAGAUACGGCCCAGACUCCUACGGGAGGCAGCAGUGGGGAAUUUGGACAAUGGGCGCAAGCCUGAUCCAGCAAUGCCGCGUGCAGGAAGAAGGCCUUCGGGUUGUAAACUGCUUUUGUACGGAGCGAAAGGUCUCCCCUAAUACGGGAGGCUGAUGACGGUACCGUAAGAAGUAAGCACCGGCUAACUACGUGCCAGCAGCCGCGGUAAUCUAGUCU